UUCUGUAAUUUCUGCAGUAAUCUUUGUUCCUUCUUUCAAAUUUAUUUGAAUGUAUUAAUUUUUCUUUUAGUCUCUUGGGCUGUAUACUUACUAGUUCAUUUACCUUUAGUCUUUCUUUUAUAUGCUUUUCUCUUCUGACUACUGCUUGAUUACAUUUCAAAGGUUUUGUAGUGUUCCCUUUUAUUAUUCAUUUCUAAAUAGCUUAUAGUUUUCAUUUUGAUUCUUAAGUUUAAUGGGGCUCUUUUACCUAGGGGACUUAAAAAAAAAUUCUGAAUAGAUAGGUUUGGAGGUUUGGGAGGGGGGGUUAUUUUGUUAUCUUUUUGUGAUUAAUUUCUAUUUAACUAAAUGUAGGCCAAGAAUGUCACUUGUGUAAUUUUGCUUCUUGGUCUAUAUUGAGAGAUUUUCAUUGUGUGUUUCCAUAUGUCUAAAAAGGUUUAUUCAUAGUGUUUUGUAAGCCAAAUUGUGUGUAUAUAUCUGUGUUUCAGAUUGAGCUUGUUUUUUGGGUUUCUUAAAUUUGUAUAUCUUGGUUUUAUUAUUUGUGAAACCUGUUGGUUUAGGAGAUAGUUGAUUUAAUGUCCACGAUGAAGACUGUGAAUAUAUCCACUCCUCUUUGUAUCAGUUUUAACCUUACAAUUUCAAAGUUUGGAUAAUAGAAGUUCUAUGACUGAUAGUAAGUAUUUGAUAGCCCUUUUUCCAGCUCCCCUGUGUCAUUUUGUUUUACAUCUGAUUUUAAAACAGCAUAUAGCUAUCUUUAUUAUUUCUUUAUUUUUUCCCUUCAUUUUCUCUGUUCUGUUUCUGGAAUUCUUUUUAGAUAAUUAGAAUUUUUCAAAGUAUCUUCCACAUUUAAACUUUACCCUUGCAACACUUCUCUAGUAUGUGUUUUAGGCUGUGGUUCCUCCUAAAGAUUUCUUUUUCUUUCCAGAAUUUGUCAAAAUUUCCACGUCUUUCUCUUACCUUGUGGAUUUAUGUAGAGUGUCUGUGUAUGUGUUCUUACCUGCUUUCAUUUUAUGAGGAACGAUAAUUGCCAGUACUUAAUUUUCUGUCUGGAUCCAGUGGAAUCCCUUCUUGAUUUCAGCACUUAGAUUGUAUUCCUGCCCAUUUUUCUUUUCGUUUGCUUGGGGAAUGAAAGUUUCAUAAGCUUAUACUUAAUCAUCAUUUCUGACUGAGCCUUCCUGAGCUGCUUUGAAACAAAAAACAAAAACUGACUCUCUUUAGCGUGUCUGUUUUACACCACUACCGCUUAUCACGUAGUGGGAGGCACUUCAGUUCCUCAGAGCUUUUGUUGUCCAGUCCAGAGCAGCUCAUUGUACAGAAUCUUUAUUGUGGAUCUCAGUGACCAGAUCCAGUCCUUUCUUCCCAGUCCUCUUUCCCUAUGACUUCUAUGUGUCAAUACGUUCUGACUGGCCCUCGUGAGAGUUAGAAAAGGGUUUUCCUCCUAACUUUCUGAAUGUCUUUUAUUUUCACUGGUGGUUUUUCUUCUUUCACCCACUCCUUAAUUGGCAUUAUAACUUAAUGUAAGAGUUAUCAACUUUUUGUCCCCUUUCUAAAGGCAAGAAACAAUUUUACUGACUUCUGAACAGUGGAAAUUGUAGUUUUAGUAUCCAUUGAGAAAAGUUUAUAUAUAGCUAUAUAAACUCAUAAUAUACUUAAAUAGAGCCACAUCAUGUAUUUACACUGAUUUUCAAACGUACUCCCCCUGAAAGAUAUGACUCUACUAGUUUCUUUAAUCUCCACAGCAACCAAUAGUAUAAUAAGAUUGAAUAAGUAUAUAGAAGACAAAUACUUAAAUACAAUGAAGUAAAUCUUGCAAGAAGCUAUAUUUACCUGUCUUCCAUUCUCCAGUAUUUUCAUAGUUAUCUUAAAGGCAGAAUUGUUUGAAUACCCUGACAUCUAAAUAUACAUCCUUUUGUGCCUUUCAUAGGUUUAGGACAUUGAUUCUCAAAUUUUAGUGUGAGUAGAAAUCAUUGCUUUGGGUAAUGUAUGUAAAGCCAUGGGAGAUGUAAGGGAUUUUUUAAGGGUGCUUUUAACCAUACCUAAAUUUGUAUGGCAAUUUUAGAUUUGCCAUGCUCAGUAAGUUUUUAUUCUUCUCUACCUACACACAUUUGAAUGAUAUUACUACAUAUGUGGAAAAUACAUAUAUUGAAACUUUAUGUAGAUGUAAAUCUGUUCAGUCUGAUUCUCCAGAUGUAAAAGAAAGUAGACAAAAAGCCAAUAGAGCUUUCAAUUUACUGGCUCUGCAAAUGUAAUAGAAGUGGGAUCUUAGACAAGUUAUUUUACAUUUCUGAACUGCAGGUUACUCACCUGUAAAAUGGGAGUAGAUAGCCUUAAAAAACACUUCAAUGUAUAGUCAGUCAAAUAAAAUGCAGUGCAGAAAAAUGUAGAUGAUAAAGUCCUUAGUUACCAAUAAUUCAGUUAUUGGGAUAAUGAUUGGUCUUGAAAGAAAAUAUGUUUAACUGAAAAAGCAAGAUGCAGUUACGGGGAACUGAGAGUUACAUAUGGGUGUGUGUAUGUUUGAGUAUCUAUAUUAUAUUUACUGCUUUGGGACAGAGGUAGGGAAUAUCCAAACUGUGUUGCCAUCCUCGUCUAGGAUCCACCUUUGGUGGUUUCUCAAAUCCCUGACCUUUUCCCAUUGUCCAAAUUAUAGUUUAUCUUGCCCACUGAUCUUCUUGGAUUUUUUUCCAAUUUUAAAAAAUUGUGGUAAAAUAACCGCUAACAAAACUUACCAUCUUAACAAUUUUUAACUGCACAGUUCAGUGGUAUUAUUUACAUUCAUAAUGUACAGCCAUCGCCACUAUCCAUUUCCAGAACUCUUUUUGCAAAACUGAAACUCUGUACCCAUUAAACAGUAAUUCCCUACCCCCACCUCCUUCCAGCCCCUGGCAACCACCACUUAUCUGUCAGUGGACACUUGGGUUGCUUCCACAAUUUAGCUAUUGUUAAUAAGGCUAUGAAAAUGCAUGUUGCAAGUAUCUCUUCAACACCCUGCUUUCAGAUCUUUUGGGUAUAUACCCAGAAGGUGGAAUUGCUGGGUCACGUAGUAAUACUAUUUAAAAGUUUUUGAGGAGCCUCCGUACUGUUUUCCACAGUGGCUGUGCCAUUUUACAUUCCCACGAACAUUACACAGCUGUUCCAAUUUCUCCAAACCACACUAAUUCUGUUUUGAUUCCUACUUAUUAUAUCUCUGCUGCAAUCCUAUCCAAACCUGAAUCUAAGACUAAGCCCUGUGUCUUCUGCUUAUGACUUGUUAAACUUGAGCAUAUCCUUUUCAAUGGCCCAACUUGAUUAUACUGUAGAAAUACCGUUGUUUUUCUAAAUACUUAGGGUAUAGACCUUCAUGGAAUCUUAUUUAUCCCUCUUUUUAAAACCAGAAGACUUUUUUUUUUCCUUUCCAGGGCAGUGCAACCAUUGAAAAGGAUUAAAAUAAGUAGGCAACUUCAUAUUGAGUUAAGGAAAGAAACAGCCAUAAGUAUAUGGCACAAAUUCUGAAGAAUAUCUUCUAAAUAUUUUUGGACUAAAACAAGGUGAAUUCCAAGAGCAUCAUUAAAGCCUCAAGAAAGGACUUUCUAAAAGAAAGUGUCACCACAUUGAAAUGUCCACUUAAAGAUCCUCUGCCUCUAGAUGGAGAGAAAAUUGAUCUGAAAUUGAGAAAUGGUGAAGGGGGACAUAGCUGCACAGCCCACUUGCAGUUGGUGGCUGAAUUCGGCUGAGAGAAACACCAUGUGAAUCUCCAGAGAGUCAUGACAGAGGCUUCACUGUACCUCUUGUUCUGCAGGAGGUGAUGCAAAAACUGGGGAUAGAUGUACUCUUUCCUCCCGCUCCUUGGUAAGAGUGUAUUCUGAAACCCAAACUGAAGCUGUCAGCUACUUUCUUUACAAUGUCCUAGAUACUGUCAGCAGAGGGCCUGGAUAGAAUUGCCAUCAUCAGAAGAUGAAUAAUGAGCGGAAAGAAACCAACAGAGGAACUGAAUAGUCAUCACAACCCAACUGUACCUUUCUCAUCCCCCACCCUAUAAACCAACAAAAGGAACAAGAUAAGUAAAAGGCUAUGAAGAAUGUGUAUCAAGAGAAUAUUCCAGGAAAGAAGAUGCCAGACAUUCUCCACAUUCUCAAAGAAGCAAGAGAAACUGAACUCAAAACAGAGCUCAAAGAAGUGAUGAGAUUGAAGGGAUGAACACUAGCCUGCAAAUAGUUACAGAUCACAGUGUGUCAGGGAUCAACAUAAGGUAAAUCUAAUAGCUACGUAUGCUAAAUCCUGUAUCCUUGACAGAAUACACCUUUUCCAGCAACCCUGGGUUGUUUACAGAACUUGGCUCUCAUUCCAUAAAGAAUCUCAAAUUCCAGAAUUAAAUAUUAAAACCAAAGAAAUAUUUAA
This is a long non-coding RNA of Vicugna pacos (alpaca), 4371 nucleotides long. RefSeq lists it as uncharacterized. NCBI's taxonomy places the organism in Eukaryota, Metazoa, Chordata, Mammalia, Artiodactyla, Camelidae. The record is from RefSeq and is a predicted model, not a curated record.